Molecule: long non-coding RNA, 1080 nt
Filed under: Salmo salar (Atlantic salmon)
Lineage: Eukaryota; Metazoa; Chordata; Actinopteri; Salmoniformes; Salmonidae
Description: lncRNA (ENSSSAG00000119717.1)
Source: RNAcentral
CGGGAUGGUGUAGCCUUAAUGAAUACGACCCAGUCCUAACGGGAUGGUGUAGCCUUAAUGAAUACGACCCAGUCCUAACUGGAGGAUGUAGCCCUAAUGAAUACGACCCAGUCCUAACGGGAUGAUGUAGCCUUAAUGAAUACGACCCAGUCCUAACGGGAUGAUGUAGCCUUAAUGAAUACGACCCAGUCCUAACGGGAUGGUGUAGCCUUAAUGAAUACGACCCAGUCCUAACGGGAUGAUGUAGCCUUAAUGAAUACGACCCAGUCCUAACGGGAUGGUGUAGCCUUAAUGAAUACGACCCAGUCCUAACUGGAGGAUGUAGCCCUAAUGAAUACGACCCAGUCCUAACGGGAUGAUGUAGCCCUAAUGAAUACGACCCACUCCUAACGGGAUGAUGUAGCCCUAAUGAAUACGACCCAGUGCUAACGGGAUGAUGUAGCCCUAAUGAAUACGACCCAGUCCUAACUGGAGGAUGUAGCCCUAAUGAAUACGACCCAGUCCUAACGGGAUGACUCAUGCUGACUUGCCCAUUGACACUCAUUAGGCUAAGCUCGGGUCCCUCGAACCGUAAUAUACAAGGUUACUUAUCUUCUCUUGUCCCGCGGCCCAGCAACUGCUAGCAUCAGUUAGGGGUCAUUAGCCACACGGCCUGGAAUAAAUGGCCUCUGAUCGUAUCGGCGCUAACCUCCAGCACAGUUGUUUUUGCACAUUUCGUAGCCGAGGAGGAAAGGACAGAGGGGGACUUCUCGCUCUCUUCUGCUCUCUUGGCUUCCUUAUUUUCUACUCUUCUUCUCUUCACCAUAAAGGUUCUUUGGCUGUCCCUGUAGGUAACAAAACAUUCAGGAGCGAGGUGGCCAGAGGAUCAUAGGGUUUUGAUCUGGCAGAGAGGCAUUGAUACGGGUCCUGCCUACCCCUCGACUCUAUGAAUAUUACCAGUUUAAAACUACAGGCCUCUGAAAGGCACUGCAGCAGUGUAUUCACAACAGCAGCUCCUUUUUUUUGUUGCAGACACUCCUUCAUUACGACGUCUCUGUUCCCUCCUUUCUCUCCUUUCAUCUCCGGCUCUUCCUCUGUCUG